Molecule: long non-coding RNA, 312 nt
Filed under: Marmota monax (woodchuck)
Lineage: Eukaryota; Metazoa; Chordata; Mammalia; Rodentia; Sciuridae
Source: RNAcentral
GUGCAGGGGCCCAGUCCCACCGGCGGCUGCCUAAAGGCUGCUGUCAGCCCGGCGGCAAACGUUCAAACAGCCGCUGCCUGCCCAGGCCCCUGCCGGCCCAGCUCUGUAAACCGCCCCUGGCAGUUCGGCGCUGCAAACGACACUCCCUCCCCCCCCUCGGGUGAACAGCUCCCGACCCCCGGCUCUGCGAACAGCCCCACCCGCCCCGCACUGCGAACAGCCCCGCGAACACCACAGCGAACGGGAUACCACCUUGGCAGAGAGCUGACGUCACGGGCCGAGGAGAUAACUUCAUUGAAACCAGCGCAACAG